RNAcentral lists this ribosomal RNA (453 nucleotides) under uncultured bacterium. RNAcentral's name for it is "partial 16S ribosomal RNA". It matches the Rfam family "Bacterial small subunit ribosomal RNA", at positions 28 to 507 of the family's 1533-position model. The record is from RNAcentral.
GAUGAACGCUGACAGAAUGCUUAACACAUGCAAGUCCACUUGAACUUCGGUUUGGGUGGCGGACGGGUGAGUAACGCGUAAAGAACUUGCCUCACAGCUAGGGACAACAUUUGGAAACGAAUGCUAAUACCUGAUAUUAUGAUUUAGGGCAUCCUAGAAUUAUGAAAGCUAUAUGCGCUGUGAGAGAGCUUUUCGUCCCAUUAGCUAGUUGGAGAGGUAACGGCUCACCAAGGCGAUGAUGGGUAGCCGGCCUGAGAGGGUGAACGGCCACAAGGGGAAUGAGACACGGCCCUUACUCCUACGGGAGGCAGCAGUGGGGAAUAUUGGACAAUGGACCAAGAGUCUGAUCCAGCAAUUCUGUGUGCACGAUGAAGUUUUUCGGAAUGUAAAGUGCUUUCAGUUGGGAAGAAAAAAAUGACGGUACCAACAGAAGAAGUGACGGCUAAAUACGUG